This 1489-nucleotide ribosomal RNA is filed under the name uncultured bacterium. RNAcentral's name for it is "bacterial SSU rRNA". It matches the Rfam family "Bacterial small subunit ribosomal RNA". The record is from RNAcentral.
AGAGUUUGAUCCUGGCUCAGGACGAACGCUGGCGGCGUGCCUAACACAUGCAAGUCGAGCGGAGAUAGAUUGAUGGUAACUGAUAUCUAUCUUAGCGGCGGACGGGUGAGUAACACGUGGGCAACCUGCCUCGAAGUGGGGGAUAACACCGAGAAAUCGGUGCUAAUACCGCAUAACAUACAGACACCACCUGGUGACUGUAUCAAAGGAGAAAUCCGCUUUGAGAUGGGCCCGCGGCUGAUUAGCUAGUUGGUGAGGUAAUGGCUCACCAAGGCGACGAUCAGUAGCCGACCUGAGAGGGUGACCGGCCACACUGGAACUGAGACACGGUCCAGACUCCUACGGGAGGCAGCAGUGGGGAAUAUUGCGCAAUGGGGGAAACCCUGACGCAGCAACGCCGCGUGGAGGAAGAAGGUCUUCGGAUUGUAAACUCUGUCCUUGGUGAAGAAAAAAAUGACGGUAGCCAAGGAGGAAGCCCCGGCUAACUACGUGCCAGCAGCCGCGGUAAUACGUAGGGGGCGAGCGUUGUCCGGAUUUACUGGGCGUAAAGGGCGUGUAGGCUGUUGGAUAAGUCUGGUGUGAAAUGCUACGGCUCAACCGUGGCACUGCCUUUGGAACUGGUCAGCUCGAGUGCAGGAGAGGUAAGUGGAAUUCCUAGUGUAGCGGUGAAAUGCGUAGAUAUUAGGAGGAACACCAGUGGCGAAGGCGACUUACUGGACUGUAACUGACGCUGAGUCACGAAAGCGUGGGUAGCAAACAGGAUUAGAUACCCUGGUAGUCCACGCUGUAAACGAUGAGUGCUAGGUGUUGGGUAGCGACCCCUUCCGUGCCGCAGUAAACGCAAUAAGUAUCCCGCCUGGGGAGUACGGCCGCAAGGUUGAAACUCAAAGGAAUUGACGGGGGCCCGCACAAGCAGCGGAGCAUGUGGUUUAAUUCGAAGCAACGCGAAGAACCUUACCAGAACUUGACAUCGUCUUGGUCUGCAUUACUCUUAAUCGAGGAAGCCCUUCGGGGCAGAUAGACAGGUGGUGCAUGGUUGUCGUCAGCUCGUGUCGUGAGAUGUUGGGUUAAGUCCCGCAACGAGCGCAACCCUUGCCUUUAGUUGCCAGCACUUCAGUUGGGGACUCUAGAGAGACUGCCGGUGACAAACCGGAGGAAGGUGGGGAUGACGUCAAAUCAUCAUGCCCCUUAUGACUUGGGCUACACACGUACUACAAUGGCGUAUACAGAGAGACGCGAAGUGGCGACAUGGAGCAAAUCUUUUAAAGCCGGUCCCAGUUCGGAUUGCAGGCUGAAACUCGCCUGCAUGAAGUUGGAGUUGCUAGUAAUCGCGGAUCAGCAUGCCGUGGUGGAAUGCGUUCCCGGGUCUUGUACACACCGCCCGUCACACCAUGGAAGUUGGGGGGACCCGAAGCCAGUGAUCCAACCGUAAGGAGGAAGCUGUCGAAGGUAAAACCAAUGACUGGGGUGAAGUCGUAACAAGGUAACC